RNAcentral lists this ribosomal RNA (496 nucleotides) under uncultured bacterium. Its description in RNAcentral is "partial 16S ribosomal RNA". It matches the Rfam family "Bacterial small subunit ribosomal RNA", at positions 29 to 507 of the family's 1533-position model. The record is from RNAcentral.
AUGAACGCUGGCGGCGUGCCUAAUACAUGCAAGUCGAGCGAACAGACGAGGAGCUUGCUCCUCUGACGUUAGCGGCGGACGGGUGAGUAACACGUGGAUAACCUACCUAUAAGACUGGGAUAACUUCUGGAAACCGGAGCUAAUACCGGAUAAUAUAUUGAACCGCAUGGUUCAAUAGUGAAAGACGGUUUUGCUGUCACUUAUAGAUGGGUCCGCGCCGCAUUAGCUAGUUGGUAAGGUAACGGCUUACCAAGGCAACGAUGCGUAGCCGACCUGAGAGGGUGAUCGGCCACACUGGAACUGAGACACGGUCCAGACUCCUACGGGAGGCAGCAGUAGGGAAUCUUCCGCAAUGGGCGAAAGCCUGACGGAGCAACGCCGCGUGAGUGAUGAAGGUCUUCGGAUCGUAAAACUCUGUUAUUAGGGAAGAACAAAUGUGUAAGUAACUAUGCACGCCUUGACGGUACCUAAUCAGAAAGCCACGGCUAACUACGUG